Molecule: ribosomal RNA, 379 nt
Filed under: uncultured organism
Description: bacterial SSU rRNA
Rfam family: Bacterial small subunit ribosomal RNA
Source: RNAcentral
UGCCUUACACAUGCAAGUCGAACGGUAACAGGUUAAGCUGACGAGUGGCGAACGGGUGAGUAAUAUAUCGGAACGUGCCCAGUCGUGGGGGAUAACGUAGCGAAAGCUACGCUAAUACCGCAUACGAUCUACGGAUGAAAGCGGGGGAUCGCAAGACCUCGCGCGAUUGGAGCGGCCGAUAUCAGAUUAGGUAGUUGGUGGGGUAAAGGCCUACCAAGCCUGCGAUCUGUAGCUGGUCUGAGAGGACGACCAGCCACACUGGAACUGAGACACGGUCCAGACACCUACGGGAGGCAGCAGUGGGGAAUUUUGGACAAUGGACGCAAGUCUGAUCCAGCCAUGCCGCGUGCAGGACGAAGGCCUUCGGGUUGUAAACUGC